Molecule: ribosomal RNA, 589 nt
Filed under: uncultured organism
Description: bacterial SSU rRNA
Rfam family: Bacterial small subunit ribosomal RNA
Source: RNAcentral
CUGAUUAGCUAGUUGGUGAGGUAAAAGCUCACCAAGGCAGCGAUCAGUAGCUGGUCUGAGAGGACGAUCAGCCACACUGGGACUGAGACACGGCCCAGACUCCUACGGGAGGCAGCAGUGGGGAAUUUUCCGCAAUGGGCGAAAGCCUGACGGAGCAAGAACCGCGUGAGGGAGGAAGGCUCUUGGGUUGUAAACCUCUUUUCUCAGGGAAGAAGCUCUGACGGUACCUGAGGAAUCAGCCUCGGCUAACUCCGUGCCAGCAGCCGCGGUAAUACGGAGGAGGCAAGCGUUAUCCGGAAUUAUUGGGCGUAAAGCGUCCGCAGGUGGCGAUUCAAGUCUGCUGUCAAAGCACGGGGCUUAACUCCGUUAAGGCAGUGGAAACUGAAUAGCUAGAGUGCCGUAGGGGUAGAGGGAAUUCCCGGUGUAGCGGUGAAAUGCGUAGAGAUCGGGAAGAACAUCGGUGGCGAAAGCGCUCUACUGGACGGCAACUUGACACUCAGGGACGAAAGCUACGGGAGCGAAUGGGAUUAGAUACCCCAGUAGUCCUAGCUGUAAACGAUGGAUACUAGGUGUAGCUUGUAUCGACCCG